This 217-nucleotide unclassified non-coding RNA is filed under the name uncultured Thelephoraceae. Its description in RNAcentral is "sequence contains ITS2". Lineage: Eukaryota; Fungi; Basidiomycota; Agaricomycetes; Thelephorales; Thelephoraceae. The record is from RNAcentral.
ACACCUCAACUCUCAUGGCUUGCCGUGAUGAGCUUGGACUUUGGGGGUCUUGCUGGCCUGCAGUCAGCUCCUCUCAAAUCAAUCAGCUUGCCAGUGUUUGGUGGCAUCACGGGUGUGAUAACUAUCUACGCUCGCUGUCGUCUGCCAGGUAACCUUCGUCACCGAAGGUUUGCUGGGGCUUACAAACGUCUCUCCUUAGCGAAGACAGCUUUUGAAC